CUUGCUUUCUUUGCUGGCGACCGGCGCACGGGUGAGUAACACGUAUCCAACCUACCCUUUACUCGGGGAUAGCCUUUCGAAAGAAAGAUUAAUACCCGAUAGCAUAAUGAUUCCGCAUGGUUUCAUUAUUAAAGGAUUCCGGUAAAGGAUGGGGAUGCGUUCCAUUAGGUUGUUGGUGAGGUAACGGCUCACCAAGCCUUCGAUGGAUAGGGGUUCUGAGAGGAAGGUCCCCCACAUUGGAACUGAGACACGGUCCAAACUCCUACGGGAGGCAAGCAUG
Molecule: ribosomal RNA, 280 nt
Filed under: uncultured bacterium
Lineage: Bacteria
Description: partial 16S ribosomal RNA
Rfam family: Bacterial small subunit ribosomal RNA
Source: RNAcentral